Molecule: non-coding RNA, 3412 nt
Organism: Equus caballus (horse)
Lineage: Eukaryota; Metazoa; Chordata; Mammalia; Perissodactyla; Equidae
Source: RefSeq, a predicted model, not a curated record
ACUGAGUUCUUGAACCGAAAAGAUGCCUGAUGAGAAUAUAGGUUUAGAUCCCAGUUUGACUGCAGAUAGAAACCAAAAGCAAAAUCACAAUAGUGCGUGCAGGUUUCUUCAAACUGGGCAAGUAGCAAGGCAGCCAUAUUUCCUGCCGCCUCUGUCUCUUGGUCGCAUUUUUUUCAGACCAGAUGGGCGGGAGAAGAGGGCAUGGGGGCAGUGUUAGGUUGAAUUUCUGGAGCAACACUGCCAUCGUGAGGAAAUCUCAGGAAAAAGCCCCAAGGAUUCCUCUCUGAAACGACUUUUAGUUUGGAAAGGUCCAUUCUGUGGGGAGGCUAAUGGGCCAGGCCCCAAGCCAAAGGUCAGUGCCUCCUCCAGAGAACUACCUGGGGCUCUGGACAAAGUGUGGGAUCCAGGUGUGGGAGCUUGCCAGUGGGGAGGCAAGACAGCCAGCAGCUGCCAGGAAGUCCAGGCACAGGAAGUCAUGGGGUGGGGUCUUGGUAUUCUCCCAGUGUGGGCGGGACCAGAGGAAACCACUUAGAGACAAAGUACUGGGCCUGUGAGUAUUUUUCUCUCUCCCAGCCCUUCAGAGCACGUGGUGUUCCUGUGCUCUAGGACUUGGGCCCUUUUUGGUAGCAGAGUCUGAGAAUAGAGGACAGGACAAUUCCUGGUGGCUUAUAGCAAGACCCAGUGUGCUUGCUGGAGGUCUCAGGUGCACCCAAAUUGGACCUGGGAGAGCCUGAAGAGAAGUGGAAUCACCCAACCAAGCCAAGAAGUACUUCUGCUAGGAGAGCAGAUCUCGCACAAACAGAUGGGAACCAAAAACAGGUGAAGAGGAUUGAAGAUGAACCUACAUUUUAAAAGUCUGUCUGCCGGAGGUGGCAUUACCUGUGACCUCGCUUCACUUCUUCAUACAUGGCUGUUGUAGCAGGUACAUUGUAAAGAAGCAUGAUUAUUUCUAGAAAUGCAAAAACAGGUGGCAAAAUUUUAAAACGUGUCAGAAUUCCAAAGACUAUUUUAUGAUGCUUCAAAAAGCAUUCAAGCUACAAGGCUUGGCUCCUUGAGACUUGCCCUCAGAAACAGGCUACUUGAUAUCUUGAGAAAAUGCAUGAAAUGCAAAGCUGAGUGAAGAAGAGUCAAGUAGAAAUCGAGUUCUUGCAAAAGAAGAUGCUCGAUCAGGAUGAGUAGUUUAGGUAUCAGUUUUGAUUUCAGAUGGAAACCAAAAGCAAAAGAACAACAGUGUGAACAGGCUUCGUAAAACUGGGCAAAAUACAAGGCAGCCAUGUUUCCUGGUAACUUUGUCUCUUCAUGGCGUUUUUUCAGACUGGUUGGGCGGGGGAUGACAGCGCAAAAACAGGGCUUGUUUGCACAUAUGGAGCACUACUGCCAUCGUGCGGAAGUAGUUUGAAAACAGCAUAAACCAUUACUUUACCGUGAAGCCAAAAGUUGAGAAAGGUCAGACCUAUGGGAAGUUGGAACAGGCUUGGACCUAAGCUGGGGCUCCUUGCCUUCUUCUCUGAGGCCUUACAAGGGACUUGAACACUGGUGGGAUCUUGGUGUACAACUUGGAGAGUAAGGAGCUGGAACUGAGCCAGCAGCUGCCAGGAGGUUCUGGCACAGGAAGUCAUGGGCAAGGCUUUGUUUUCUACCCAGUGUGGACUGGAUUAGAGAAAUCCACUGAAAGACAAAUGCAGGCUCUUGUGGGCAUUUGUCUCCUGUUGUUCCUCCUUGAAGUGAAAGGUAGCAGGCUUUCAAGUGCUAUCCUGGUGUUAUGUGGCACGGAUCUCUUGUGGCAGCAGUGUCAGAACACCAAGGAUAGGCCAGUUCCAGGUGGCAUAUAACAGAGGCAAGAGUGCUUGCUGAAGUUCUCAGAUACACUCAAAUGUUUAAAGGCCCAUUACCUGGAGUUCAGAGGGCCUGAAGAGGAGUGGGACCCCCAAGCCAAACCAAGAAGUGUUAAAACUUCUAAGGGAGCAGAUGUAAAAAAACAGAUAGGGACCAAAAGAGUGAAAAGGAUUGAAAAUAAAUACACAUUUUAAAAUCCUUCCCUGCCAGAGGUAGCAUGACCCACGACCUUGCUUUACUUCAUGCACGUCUUUCAUAGCAGGUACGUUGUAAAAAAGCAUGACUAUUUCUAGAAAUGAGAAAACAGGUGACAAAAAUGAUGCCACUGAAGAUGGUGAAGUAGGAAACUCUAGUGCUCCAUCCCUCCACAAAAGCAACUAAUGAGCUGACAAAACCUGUCAGAAAAAUCCAGAACUCUAGAUCUAGUUGAAAACUUAUGAAAACCAAGGAAGGCUUGGUGGAGAAAAAAGUGACUACUUUGCAGUGAGAGAGUGCUGUAGUAUUUUAAAUUCCCCAUUUACCAUCUCCCAAUCACCACACUGACUUAAAGAUGGCCUCUGUUCUCCUGGUGAAUGACGUUAGUGCCCAAGGGAGCAAUACGGACUUUAUUCUCAAAGAACUGUGGUUGUCCAUUUUGACCUGUCUUGAGGUUCUCUCAAGGACUGGUGCAAGAGCUUGCCUUCAACUUAGCUGGAGUGUUUCCAGGGCUGUUGUGUCUUCCAGAAAGACAUUCACUAAAAUAAUUUAAAGGCACAAGUAUUGGCCAGAGCAGCCUGGAGCAAGGGACAAUAGUCAAGACAAGCAACAGACAGAUGGAAAAGCAUAGGAAGGAGGAGACUGUGAAAGAAGAUUUGUGGGAAAACAAGGAAUUUUAAAAGUUCUUGCAUGUACUGGAGAAACGAGAAAACCACAGACGUGUCCAGAGCUGGAUAACUGCUCAGAAAAUGUCUGAGGAGACCCUAAGCUCUCAAGUUCCACUAGUCCUUAGGUUCCCUGCAAGCUGGAAGUGAAGGAUUAGGUAGAGUUGUGAACAGCCUGUAUAAUUGUUGAGACAGUUCCCCAAUAUAAAACCAAUCUGCAAAAACUGAGAAUAUUUUUCUUAGGUUUUAGACAUUUAAAGAAAGUUUGUUAGAACAUUAAGUGAUCACUAAGCUAACAGAACAUAGACUUAAGUGGCCAAACAUGACAAAGAAUAUAGACUUUACAAAAAUAAUUGAGGAAAGUCACCAAACAAACAAGAACUCAUAAGUAGAAUCAACAAAACCUGUGGUAAGGGAGGUUAGAAAUCUGAUUUCCAGCAUUAAUACAUUAUAACAUUCAACGUGCCUAGUUUGCAAUAACAAAAAAUGAGUCAGGCAAACAAGAGUAUGGCCCAUUCAUAGGGAAAAAAGGAAUUAAUAGAAACUAUCUAGAACAAAGCCUAUGCAUUGGACUUACUAGAAAAGACUUUAAAUCAACUCUUAAAUAUGCUCAAAGGGGGAAAGGAAACUAAAUACAAAGUAGUAAAGGAAACCAGAAGAACAAUAUCUCACCAAAUGGAAAAUAUCAAUACAGAGAUAGAAAUUAUAAAAAAAAA